AGUGAACGCUGGCGGUAGGCCUAACACAUGCAAGUCGAACGGCAGCACAGUAAGAGCUUGCGCUUACGGGGGGCGAGUGGCGGACGGGUGAGGAAUACAACGGAAUCUACUUUUUGGGGGGGGAUAACGUAGGGGAACUUACGCUAAUACCGCAUACGACGUACGGGGGAAAGCAGGGGAAAGUCGGAGCGGGCGGGGAUGGACGAGCGGAUGACGGUUUAGCUAGUGGGGGGGGUAAAGGCCAAGCCAGGGGACGAUACGUAGCCGGUCUGAGAGGAUGGUCGGCCGCCCGGGAACUGAGCCGCGCUCCAGACUCCUACGGGAGGCCGCAGUGGGCAAUGUUGGACAAUGGGCGCAAGCCUGGUCCAGCCAUCCCGCGUGGGUGAAGACGGCCUUCGGGUUGUAAAGCCCUUUUGUUGGGAAAGAAACGCAGCCGCUUGAUACCCCGCUGUUCUGACGGUACCCAGAGAAUAAGCACCGGCUAACUUCGUG
Molecule: ribosomal RNA, 492 nt
Filed under: uncultured bacterium
Lineage: Bacteria
Description: partial 16S ribosomal RNA
Rfam family: Bacterial small subunit ribosomal RNA
Source: RNAcentral